AUUGAAUGAAAAUCCCUUAAGAAUUGCACUUGUUUUCAUUUGCAUUUUUCUGUUCCCAGAACCUAGAAUGGUGUCUGGUACACAGUCAGUAUAUAAUAAAUGCUUUCUGGUUGAUUGAUUGAUUGGUUGGUAGAAUGGUUUCAGCCUUUUCCUCUCGGAGAACAUUAGGUGGCAAACAGGACUUCAUGGUUUCCUUGGAAGUUGAAUAAAUACCACACCCCCAGCAGGCUCCUGGAUAUAGUUUUUGAAAGCUGCAGAUGCAGAAACAAGAGGUGAAAUGGUGACAAGUAAUGAAUAGCAAUGAGCUUCAGCUGCAAAUGUAUUAUUGUGCUUCUGACAUCAUGAGGUGGUUUGGGUGCCAAUUAUUUGUCUCUUUGGAGCAUUGCCCUCUAAUUCGAUCUUGCUUAUUGGGUUUUGUGAUGAAAGGCUUUUAUUGAUCAUCUCUGGGCACUACAAAGAUCCAAUAGGAGAAGAGCCAAGGAAGCCUCUGUCUUCGGAGCACUGGAUCUAUUCUUGUCCUGGUCCCAACUCAUGUGGAGUCUUGGUCAUUCUACUUUCAGGCAUUCCUAUUGGAGGGAUCCUUUCAUCAAUGGAGAAUGGGCAUCCAAGACCAGGUAGCAAGCCUGUGAGCUUCAGAAGGUGAGGAAAGCCACCAAAAUUCCAGCACCUGGAGUCCAUAGCAAAGCUUACUACAGAAGCUAUCAUCAAUGAGGAAUCAGUCAUGCAGAAGGAUCUGCUGGAAAUAAACCAGGGGCAGAUCAAUGCAUGGAAAAGACAAGGGAGUGAUUCAUCCAUCAGCUAAUGCAAUACACAGAAGGGAUCUUGAUGGGUUGAAUGGUUGGUAUUAACCACUUUAAUUUUUAGUCUCAUCUUCUCAAGGAACCAAUGUGGUAGAGUAUAGUGGUCUGCUAACAAUAAAAAUAUUAAUAAUAAUAAUAAUAAGGUACUUGUUCAGCAAGAUUCCAUAUCUGGUUGGAACCAGGAAAAUAAUAUUCAAUGCUCUAAGCACUGAAACUCCAUUGGCUAUUCCCCUAUUAUAUUUGUAUUUUGAAAUGAUGCUUAUGGAGAUUUAAGUUCAUCAUAAGAAAAGAAUAAGAAUAUUUCAAAAAGAAAAUUCAGUUAUAUAGAACAGUCCAUUUCUCAUUGUUUUCUUGAAAAAUGUCACUGAAUUAGCUAGUUUGGAAGGAAGGAAGACUGUUUGUAAAGAGCACUAUAUAGACCACAGAAGUAUGGCUUAGGAGAUGGCAUUUGUUAAUUUUUUUCUUUUAAUUUUAUUAUUAAAUAGCCUUCCUAGACAUGGUGAUAUUUUACUCCCAGCUCUAAUUUCCUGUGAUUCUUUUAAGAUGAUGAGUUAACAUGGAUGUUUCUAUGCUUUUUGUCUAAUCAAUGACAUAAUUCAGUUCCAUUUUAAUUAUUAUAAUAGUCUCAUAUUUACAUAACA
Non-coding RNA from Monodelphis domestica (gray short-tailed opossum), 1441 nucleotides. The record is from RefSeq and is a predicted model, not a curated record. Lineage: Eukaryota; Metazoa; Chordata; Mammalia; Didelphimorphia; Didelphidae.